GAAGAGAAAGAAAAUUCGAUUCCCUUAGUAGCGGCGAGCGAAACGGGAAGAGCCCAAACCAACAAGCUUGCUUGUUGGGGUUGUAGGACACUCUAUACGGAGUUACAAAGGACGACAUUAGACGAAUCAUCUGGAAAGAUGAAUCAAAGAAGGUAAUAAUCCUGUAGUCGAAAAUGUUGUCUCUCUUGAGUGGAUCCUGAGUACGACGGAGCACGUGAAAUUCCGUCGGAAUCUGGGAGGACCAUCUCCUAAGGCUAAAUACUCUCUAGUGACCGAUAGUGAACCAGUACCGUGAGGGAAAGGUGAAAAGCACCCCGGAAGGGGAGUGAAAUAGAACCUGAAACCGUGUGCUUACAAGUAGUCAGAGCCCGUUAAUGGGUGAUGGCGUGCCUUUUGUAGAAUGAACCGGCGAGUUACGAUUUGAUGCAAGGUUAAGCAGUAAAUGUGGAGCCGUAGCGAAAGCGAGUCUGAAUAGGGCGUUUAGUAUUUGGUCGUAGACCCGAAACCAGGUGAUCUACCCUUGGUCAGGUUGAAGUUCAGGUAACACUGAAUGGAGGACCGAACCGACUUACGUUGAAAAGUGAGCGGAUGAACUGAGGGUAGCGGAGAAAUUCCAAUCGAACCUGGAGAUAGCUGGUUCUCUCCGAAAUAGCUUUAGGGCUAGCCUCAAGUGAUGAUUAUUGGAGGUAGAGCACUGUUUGGACGAGGGGCCCCUCUCGGGUUACCGAAUUCAGACAAACUCCGAAUGCCAAUUAAUUUAACUUGGGAGUCAGAACAUGGGUGAUAAGGUCCGUGUUCGAAAGGGAAACAGCCCAGACCACCAGCUAAGGUCCCAAAAUAUAUGUUAAGUGGAAAAGGAUGUGGCGUUGCCCAGACAACUAGGAUGUUGGCUUAGAAGCAGCCAUCAUUUAAAGAGUGCGUAAUAGCUCACUAGUCGAGUGACACUGCGCCGA
RNAcentral lists this ribosomal RNA (953 nucleotides) under Staphylococcus aureus. Its description in RNAcentral is "partial 23S ribosomal RNA". It matches the Rfam family "Bacterial large subunit ribosomal RNA", at positions 216 to 1167 of the family's 2925-position model. Lineage: Bacteria; Bacillati; Bacillota; Bacilli; Caryophanales; Staphylococcaceae. The record is from RNAcentral.